UUCAGAUUUGAGUACACUGUAUCUAUAGAUGCUAAUAUAUAUGCUUGCAUCACUAUGCCUUCCUGUGUUUCCUCUAUUUGGUUUCAGGGGUUUUGAGAUUGUUGUCAAAUUCACCUCCAUAUUAUUACACUCUAAAGAUUUAGUUGUUUUUCGUUGCUAACCAAGCGUUCAGUGGAUAGAUAUGAGCCGGGAGAUUUCGAAGCUGGAGGAUAUGAAUGGAAACUAGUGCCCUACCCGAAUGGAAACAAGGCGAGGAACGUGGCUGACUACAUCUCUCUCUUCUUGGAAAUGCUGAAGCCGAUUCACUUGAGACUGGUUGGGAAGUGUUUGUUAACUUCAGGUUAUUUUUGCUUGAACAGAAAAGGGGCUUCUACUUUGUUCUUCACGAUGCGAAAGAAAAGGAAAAAUGUUUUCACGGGAUGAUGCCUUAUUCGGUUUAUGAUCGAUUUAUUCCUCUUAAAGCUUUUAUUAAUACUUCCAACGGAUAUCUCCUGGAUGAUACCUGUGUUUGGAGCGGAUGUCUUUGUUUGUAAAGAAAGAAGAACAGGAAAUGGAGAGUGUCUAUCAAUGAUCAAGAAUGCUGUUAUGCGCAAGCAUGUAAGGUUGAGAACUUCUCAAAGUCAGAUGCUGAGAGCUACUACUCAGAAGUAUUCACUGCUGAAGGCUUGAAGUGAGCUACUGCUCUAUCCUAAGGGAAAUCAGAAAGGAAAGGGUACUCAUAUAUCUCUCUACUUGGAAUUGGAUGAUCUGAAAGAACCUGUUAAAAGCCUCUCUCUUCUCCUACAAAAGUGGCUUGAGCCAUCAUUCACAGAAAUCUGUUAAAGCAAUUAGAGGGUGAGUGUUAUUUAGGUCCACUGAAUAAUUAGGCUCAUUAAAUCUUCUACAUAGGUUCAUUGACUCUUCUACAUUAGGUUCAUUGACUUUUCUACAUUAGGUUCAUGGGCUGAAAGAGUAAAUGAUGUGUAUUUGUAAUUAAUCCACGCAUGUGUAUUCACUAUAUAUUGUACA
This is a long non-coding RNA of Malus domestica (apple), 1008 nucleotides long. RefSeq lists it as uncharacterized. Lineage: Eukaryota; Viridiplantae; Streptophyta; Magnoliopsida; Rosales; Rosaceae. The record is from RefSeq and is a predicted model, not a curated record.